GAUGAACGCUGGCGGCGUGCCUAAUACAUGCAAGUAGAACGCUGAAGGAAGGAGCUUGCUCUUUCCGGGUGAGUGGCGGACGGGUGAGUAACGCGUGGGUAACCUGCCUGGUAGCGGGGGAUAACUAUGGGAAACGGGAGCUAAUACCGCAUAACAGUAGGUGUUGCAUGGUAUCUACUUAAAAGGUGCAAUUGCAGCACUACCAGAUGGACCUGCGUUGUAUUAGCUAGGUGGGGAGGGAACGGCUCACCAAGGGGACGAUACAUAGCCGGCCUGAGAGGGUGGUCCGCCAAACUGGGACUGAGACACCGCCCCGACCCCUACCGGAGGCAGCCGGAGGGGAUUCUUGGCAAUUGGCCGAAGGCCGGACGGGCAAAGCCGCGUGAGGGAAUAAUGGUUUCGGAUCGUAAAGCUCUUUUGUAAGGGAAGAACGAGUGUGGGAGUUAAAUGUUCACACUGUGACGGUACCUUACCAGAAAGGGACGGCUAACUACGUG
Molecule: ribosomal RNA, 497 nt
Filed under: uncultured bacterium
Lineage: Bacteria
Description: partial 16S ribosomal RNA
Rfam family: Bacterial small subunit ribosomal RNA
Source: RNAcentral